AACAAUCUGAUGAUGGGAACGAGUAAUGAACCGGAACAUUCACAGAGAGCCGACGGUCGGUGUAAGUCGGUAAUGAAAGGUUGAUGAAAAUCCUCCCUGAAGAGAAGUGCUGAACUGAUUAAGCACUUACGAUUUUUCCACGUUAUAGGAAACGCGUAUGUUGGUACGUUGUAGAGAGCUUUUAUCAGUAAUGGUAAAAGAAUCAGGGUGGUAACGCGGAAUUCUCCGUCCCUCUU
This 236-nucleotide non-coding RNA is filed under the name Veillonellaceae bacterium. RNAcentral describes it as "T-box sequence". It matches the Rfam family "T-box leader". From Rfam's summary of the family: Uncharged tRNA acts as the effector for transcription antitermination of genes in the T-box leader family. Lineage: Bacteria; Bacillati; Bacillota; Negativicutes; Veillonellales; Veillonellaceae. The record is from RNAcentral.